RNAcentral lists this ribosomal RNA (280 nucleotides) under uncultured Eubacteriales bacterium. RNAcentral's name for it is "uncultured Clostridiales bacterium partial 16S ribosomal RNA". It matches the Rfam family "Bacterial small subunit ribosomal RNA", at positions 62 to 339 of the family's 1533-position model. Lineage: Bacteria; Bacillati; Bacillota; Clostridia; Eubacteriales. The record is from RNAcentral.
UUUGAUGAGAUCUUCGGAUGGAUUUAAAACAGCUUAGUGGCGGACGGGUGAGUAACGCGUGGGUAACCUGCCUCACACUGGGGGAUAACAGUUAGAAAUAGCUGCUAAUACCGCAUAAGCGCACGGUUCCGCAUGGAACAGUGUGAAAAACUCCGGUGGUGUGAGAUGGACCCGCGUCUGAUUAGCCAGUUGGCGGGGUAACGGCCCACCAAAGCGACGAUCAGUAGCCGGCCUGAGAGGGUGAACGGCCACAUUGGGACUGAGACACGGCCCAAACUCC